AGUUAUACAUAUGAGCCGCAGAGGCAGCAGCAGCAGCAACCACAACGAAAACAAACUGACAUCGUUUCAGAAAUGAGACGUGCCUUUCCUUACUACAAGAGGUUUGCAGGCACAGUGAAAUCAACCCCCAAACGCCGACCAAAAUCAUCAUGCAGACAAAUGCAUUUUAAGCUUUGCUGCUUAGCAACUAAUGAGGAAUUUAGCCCAGACAAGGAAGAGGAAUGUCUUCUUGCCAAAGCUGGUUUGGGAACUCCUGCAGUGUGAGGCAUGCACAGAGAAGUGUGCACUGUGUGCACUUGAUGUGUCGGUGGUACAUAUGACGGAGCGCUAUGAUGCCAUGCAUUCGAAAGGCCAAGAAACG
RNAcentral lists this unclassified non-coding RNA (361 nucleotides) under Priapulus caudatus. RNAcentral describes it as "uncharacterized LOC106815334, transcript variant X2". The record is from RNAcentral. Lineage: Eukaryota; Metazoa; Priapulida; Priapulimorpha; Priapulimorphida; Priapulidae.